RNAcentral lists this ribosomal RNA (301 nucleotides) under uncultured bacterium. RNAcentral's name for it is "partial 16S ribosomal RNA". It matches the Rfam family "Bacterial small subunit ribosomal RNA", at positions 509 to 807 of the family's 1533-position model. The record is from RNAcentral.
CAGCAGCCGCGGGAAUACGAAGGGGGCUAGCGUUGCUCGGAAUGACUGGGCGUAAAGGGCGCGUAGGCGGUUUUGACAGUCAGAUGUGAAAUUCCCGGGCUUAACCUGGGGGCUGCAUUUGAGACGUCAAGACUAGAGUGUGAGAGAGGGUUGUGGAAUUCCCAGUGUAGAGGUGAAAUUCGUAGAUAUUGGGAAGAACACCGGUGGCGAAGGCGGCAACCUGGCUCAUUACUGACGCUGAGGCGCGAAAGCGUGGGGAACAAACAGGAUUAGAUACCCCAGUAGUCCCUGUCUCUUAUAC